Molecule: transfer RNA, 91 nt
Filed under: Mycoplasmopsis bovis
Lineage: Bacteria; Bacillati; Mycoplasmatota; Mycoplasmoidales; Metamycoplasmataceae
Description: Mycoplasma bovis tRNA-Tyr
Source: RNAcentral
GGAGGGAGUAGCGAAGCUUUUUAACCAAACGCGGGUGGCUGUAACCCACUUCCUCACGGUUCGGGGGUUCAGAAUCCCUCCCCCUCCACCA